This 335-nucleotide unclassified non-coding RNA is filed under the name soil metagenome. Its description in RNAcentral is "partial contains 5.8S ribosomal RNA, internal transcribed spacer 2, and large subunit ribosomal RNA". The stretch from base 1 to 120 matches the Rfam family "5.8S ribosomal RNA", at positions 35 to 154 of the family's 154-position model. The record is from RNAcentral.
GAUGAAGAACGUAGUGAAAUGCGAUAAGUAAUGUGAAUUGCAGAAUUCAGUGAAUCAUCGAAUCUUUGAACGCACAUUGCGCCCGCCAGUAUUCUGGCGGGCAUGCCUGUUCGAGCGUCAUUUCAACCAUCAAGCCCCCGGCUUGUGUUGGGGACCUGCGGCUGCCGCAGGCCCUGAAAACCAGUGGCGGGCUCGCUAGUCACUCCGAGCGUAGUAAUACAUCUCGCUCAGGGCGUGCUGCGGGUUCCGGCCGUUAAAAAGCCUUAUUUACCCAAGGUUGACCUCGGAUCAGGUAGGAAGACCAGCUGAACUUAAGCAUAUCAAUAAGCGGAGGA